RNAcentral lists this ribosomal RNA (782 nucleotides) under Thelebolales sp. RNAcentral describes it as "partial large subunit ribosomal RNA". It matches the Rfam family "Eukaryotic large subunit ribosomal RNA", at positions 71 to 874 of the family's 3401-position model. Lineage: Eukaryota; Fungi; Ascomycota; Leotiomycetes; Thelebolales. The record is from RNAcentral.
GGGAUUACCUCAGUAACGGCGAGUGAAGCGGUAACAGCUCAAAUUUGAAAUCUGGCAGCAAUGUCCGAGUUGUAAUUUGUAGAGGAUGUUUCGAGCAUGGUCUGGCCUAAGUUCCUUGGAACAGGACGUCAUAGAGGGUGAGAAUCCCGUAUGCGGUCAGGUGCCUACGCUCAUGUGAAACUCCUUCGACGAGUCGAGUUGUUUGGGAAUGCAGCUCAAAAUGGGUGGUAAAUUUCAUCUAAAGCUAAAUAUUGGCCAGAGACCGAUAGCGCACAAGUAGAGUGAUCGAAAGAUGAAAAGCACUUUGGAAAGAGAGUUAAACAGUACGUGAAAUUGUUGAAAGGGAAGCGCUUGCAACCAGACUUGCACGCAGCUGAUCAUCCGCUGUUCUCAGUGGUGCACUCGGUUGCGUUCAGGCCAGCAUCGGUUUUGGUGGUGGGAUAAAGGCCUUAGGAAUGUAGCUGCUUUCGGGCAGUGUUAUAGCCUAGGGUGCAAUGCCGCCUACUGGGACCGAGGACCGCGCUUCGGCUAGGAUGCUGGCGUAAUGGUUGUAAGCGACCCGUCUUGAAACACGGACCAAGGAGUCUAACAUCUAUGCGAGUGUUUGGGUGUCAAACCCAUACGCGUAAUGAAAGUGAACGGAGGUCAGAACCCUUAAGGGUGCAUGAUCGACCGGUCCUGAAGUCUUCGGAUGGAUCUGAGUAAGAGCAUAGCUGUUGGGACCCGAAAGAUGGUGAACUAUGCCUGAAUAGGGUGAAGCCAGAGGAAACUCUGGUGGAGGC